RNAcentral lists this ribosomal RNA (126 nucleotides) under Methanospirillum hungatei. The record is from RNAcentral. Lineage: Archaea; Methanobacteriati; Methanobacteriota; Methanomicrobia; Methanomicrobiales; Methanospirillaceae.
UCAAUAGCGGCCACAGCAGGUGUGUCACACCCGUUCCCAUUCCGAACACGGAAGUUAAGACACCUCACGUGGAUGACGGUACUGAGGUACGCGAGUCCUCGGGAAAUCAUCCUCGCUGCUAUUGUU